GCUCUUCUGGUUCUUAGGCCUUAAGACUCACCAUCUGCUAUCCUGAGUCUCCAGAUUUUGAAUGCAGAUCUUGGGACUUGUCAGCCUGCAUAAUCAUGUGAGUUAAUUCUUUAUUUUCUACACACACACACAUACAUACAUACAUCCAAUAUGGUUCUGUUUCUCCAGAGAAGCUAAUAAGACUAAUAAUAUUAGUCUCUAACUAAUAUACCCAGAGACUUCUAGGAUUUGAUUACCAUCCUUGAAUUGAUGAGGGACCGUAAAAAACAAUGUAUACAGGGUAGGUUUUUAAAUCCGUGGAAUGGAAGGUAGUUAACCUUAUUGACAAGAAAUUCCUUCUGUGCUAGGUUGUUUGAAUGAAUCCGAAGUGAAAGCUGUUGUUUCUGCUUCCAAAAAGGCUUGAUCUCAGUUUGUCACUUGCCUGCAAUGUUUUCCAUUACUGUGCACUGUUUGAAAAUGCCUUGAUGGCGAUAAUCAUUGGGCUCCUGGAGUGUGAUCAGUGUGCACGAUUGAGCAUACUUUAUGUGAAAAUAAAAUGCCUAUACCCUG
RNAcentral lists this long non-coding RNA (549 nucleotides) under Felis catus (domestic cat). RNAcentral's name for it is "lncRNA (ENSFCAG00000045872.2)". Lineage: Eukaryota; Metazoa; Chordata; Mammalia; Carnivora; Felidae. The record is from RNAcentral.